Cryphonectria parasitica EP155 is the source of this 101-nucleotide non-coding RNA. The record is from the annotation of a RefSeq genome assembly. NCBI's taxonomy places the organism in Eukaryota, Fungi, Ascomycota, Sordariomycetes, Diaporthales, Cryphonectriaceae.
GGCAAUGUAGCCAAGUGGUUACGGCGCUGGCCUGCUAUUCCCCUAGGGUUUAACGUUAGCCAGUCUCUUCGGAGGCGCAAGUUCGAAUCUUGUCAUUGUCG